CCUACGGGGGGCAGCAGUGAGGAAUAUUGGUCAAUGGCCGAGAGGCUGAACCAGCCAAGUAGCGUGAAGGAUGACGGCCCUAUGGGUUGUAAACCUCUUUUGUCCGGGAGUAAAACGAGUCACGUGUGACUCUUUGAAUGUACCCGAUGAAUAAGCAUCGGCUAACUCCGUGCCAGCAGCCGCGGUAAUACGGAGGAUGCGAGCGUUAUCCGGAUUUAUUGGGUGUAAAGGGCGCGUAGGUGGUAUGUUAAGUCAGGUGUGAAAGCUUGCGGCUCAACGUGGGAACUGCCAUUGAAACUGGCAAACUGGAGUGCGUGAGAGGAUAGCGGAAUUCGUGGUGUAGGAGUGAAAUGCGUAGAUAUCAGGAGGAACAUCAGUGGCGAAGGCGACUUACUGGAACGUAACUGACGCUGAGGAGCGAAAGCGUGGGUAGCAAACAGGAUUAGAUACCCCAGUAGUC
This 460-nucleotide ribosomal RNA is filed under the name uncultured bacterium. RNAcentral's name for it is "partial 16S ribosomal RNA". It matches the Rfam family "Bacterial small subunit ribosomal RNA", at positions 338 to 795 of the family's 1533-position model. The record is from RNAcentral.